UCCUAAGUAAUCUAGUUGCCUAGAUAUCUGGCUUUCACUCAGAAGGCUCGGGUUCGAUUCCUGACGUGGGAA
This is a non-coding RNA of Cordylochernes scorpioides, 72 nucleotides long. The record is from the annotation of a GenBank genome assembly. NCBI's taxonomy places the organism in Eukaryota, Metazoa, Arthropoda, Arachnida, Pseudoscorpiones, Chernetidae.